CUACACUACCAUCGGGCUACGAAUCGGGAACUGGUUAGAGCAGCAGGUAAAAAUAGUAAAACACUCCUCUCGCGAGAAGUAUCCCGCCGGCGGCCGGAGCCGAGGACGCUGGCGGCGCCACUCCCGGCCACCACCGGCAGGGGAAACCGUCGGCGGGGCCCGCGGGACUCCCGGGGGAUCCAUUUUUGCCCUGAGCACGGGAGAAGGAGCACCCUUGGCUGCCUUGAACUGCAGCGGCGUUCCUGCUACGCUGCAGUUCGCCUGGGAGCACGGGACAGAGAGCUUGACGGGCCUCCCUGCUAGCGCUGCCGCGCUGCACUACCGACGACGAGGGGGGGGGGGUCCCUCUGGUCACGCGCUACCGUCGAGGGAAGGAGGAAGCCCCUGUUACCACCCCUACCU
RNAcentral lists this long non-coding RNA (402 nucleotides) under Hordeum vulgare. RNAcentral describes it as "long non-coding RNA (HVUL_LNC012821)". Lineage: Eukaryota; Viridiplantae; Streptophyta; Magnoliopsida; Poales; Poaceae. The record is from RNAcentral.